This 253-nucleotide ribosomal RNA is filed under the name uncultured bacterium. Its description in RNAcentral is "partial 16S ribosomal RNA". It matches the Rfam family "Bacterial small subunit ribosomal RNA", at positions 524 to 776 of the family's 1533-position model. The record is from RNAcentral.
UACAGAGGUCCCGAGCGUUGUUCGGAUUCACUGGGCGUAAAGGGUGCGUAGGUGGUGAGGUAAGUCGGAUGUGAAAGCUCCGAGCUCAACUCGGAAAUGGCAUUGGAAACUACCUUGCUAGAGGGUUUGAGGGGGGACUGGAAUACUUGGUGUAGCAGUGAAAUGCGUAGAUAUCAAGUGGAACACCAGUGGCGAAGGCGAGUCCCUGGAAAACUCCUGACACUGAGGCACGAAAGCUAGGGGAGCAAACAGG